This 253-nucleotide ribosomal RNA is filed under the name uncultured bacterium. Its description in RNAcentral is "partial 16S ribosomal RNA". It matches the Rfam family "Bacterial small subunit ribosomal RNA", at positions 524 to 776 of the family's 1533-position model. The record is from RNAcentral.
UACGUAGGCGGCAAGCGUUAUCCGGAAUUAUUGGGCGUAAAGCGCGCGCAGGUGGUUUCUUAAGUCUGAUGUGAAAGCCCACGGCUCAACCGUGGAGGGUCAUUGGAAACUGGGAGACUUGAGUGCAGGAGAGGAAAGUGGAAUUCCAAGUGUAGCGGUGAAAUGCGUAGAGAUUUGGAGGAACACCAGUGGCGAAGGCGACUUUCUGGCCUGUAACUGACACUGAGGCGCGAAAGCGUGGGGAGCAAACAGG